GGCUCGAUAAGUCAGAUGUGAAAUCCCCGGGCUCAACCUGGGAACUGCAUCUGAUACUCGUUGAGCUAGAGUAUGUGAGAGGAAGGUAGAAUUCCAGGUGUAGCGGUGAAAUGCGUAGAGAUCUGGAGGAAUACCGAUGGCGAAGGCAGCCUUCUGGCAUAAUACUGACACUGAGGCUCGAAAGCGUGGGUAGCAAACAGGAUUAGAUACCCUGGUAGUCCACGCCGUAAACGAUGUCUACUAGUCGUUGGGUCCCUUGAGGACUUAGUGACGCAGCUAACGCAAUAAGUAGACCGCCUGGGGAGUACGGCCGCAAGGUUAAAACUCAAAUGAAUUGACGGGGGCCCGCACAAGCGGUGGAGCAUGUGGUUUAAUUCGAUGCAACGCGAAGAACCUUACCUGGUCUUGACAUAUCUAGAAUCCUGCAGAGAUGCGGGAGUGCCUUCGGGAAUUAGAAUACAGGUGCUGCAUGGCUGUCGUCAGCUCGUGUCGUGAGAUGUUGGGUUAAGUCCCGCAACGAGCGCAACCGUUGUCCUUAGUUACCAGCGGGUUAAGCCGGGAACUCUAAGGAUACUGCCAGUGACAAACUGGAGGAAGGCGGGGACGACGUCAAGUCAUCAUGGCCCUUACGACCAGGGCUACACACGUGCUACAAUGGUAGGUACAGAGGGCAGCUACACAGCGAUGUGAUGCGAAUCUCAAAAAGCCUAUCGUAGUCCAGAUUGGAGUCUGCAACUCGACUCCAUGAAGUAGGAAUC
RNAcentral lists this ribosomal RNA (758 nucleotides) under uncultured Pseudomonadota bacterium. RNAcentral's name for it is "bacterial SSU rRNA". It matches the Rfam family "Bacterial small subunit ribosomal RNA", at positions 577 to 1333 of the family's 1533-position model. Lineage: Bacteria; Pseudomonadati; Pseudomonadota. The record is from RNAcentral.